UGGGGAAUAUUGCACAAUGGGCGAAAGCCUGAUGCAGCAACGCCGCGUGCGGGAUGACGGCCUUCGGGUUGUAAACCGCUUUCAGCAGGGACGAAGGUUUUCUGACGGUACCUGCAGAAGAAGCACCGGCUAACUACGUGCCAGCAGCCGCGGUGAUACGUAGGGUGCGAGCGUUGUCCGGAAUUAUUGGGCGUAAAGAGCUUGUAGGCGGUCCGUUGCGUCGGAAGUGAAAACUCAGGGCUUAACCCUGAGCCUGCUUUCGAUACGGGCGGACUUGAGGGAUGUAGGGGAGAACGGAAUUCCUGGUGGAGCGGUGGAAUGCGCAGAUAUCAGGAGGAACACCAGUGGCGAAGGCGGUUCUCUGGACAUUUCCUGACGCUGAGAAGCGAAAGCGUGGGGAGCAAACAGGCUUAGAUACCCUGGUAGUCCACGCCGUAAACGGUGGGCACUAGGUGUGGGACCCAUUCCACGGGUUCCGUGCCGUAGCUAACGCAUUAAGUGCCCCGCCUGGGGAGUACGGCCGCAAGGCUAAAACUCAAAGGAAUUG
RNAcentral lists this ribosomal RNA (547 nucleotides) under uncultured bacterium. RNAcentral's name for it is "partial 16S ribosomal RNA". It matches the Rfam family "Bacterial small subunit ribosomal RNA", at positions 355 to 912 of the family's 1533-position model. The record is from RNAcentral.